Molecule: ribosomal RNA, 837 nt
Filed under: uncultured Bacteroidota bacterium
Lineage: Bacteria; Pseudomonadati; Bacteroidota
Description: bacterial SSU rRNA
Rfam family: Bacterial small subunit ribosomal RNA
Source: RNAcentral
UAAAGGGUGCGCAGGCGGCGCGCCAAGUCAGCGGUCAAAGUUCCGGGCUCAACCCGGUGUCGCCGUUGAAACUGGCGUGCUCGAGUGCGUGCGAGGAAGGCGGAAUGCGUUGUGUAGCGGUGAAAUGCAUAGAUAUGACGCAGAACUCCGAUUGCGAAGGCAGCUUUCCAGCGCGCUACUGACGCUGAGGCACGAAAGCGUGGGGAUCGAACAGGAUUAGAUACCCUGGUAGUCCACGCAGUAAACGAUGACUACUAGCUUUCCGGGAUGAUUGAGUCCUGGGAGGCACAGCGAAAGCGUUAAGUAGUCCACCUGGGGAGUACGCCGGCAACGGUGAAACUCAAAGGAAUUGACGGGGGCCCGCACAAGCGGAGGAACAUGUGGUUUAAUUCGAUGAUACGCGAGGAACCUUACCCGGGCUCAAACGACAGCGGACAGCUCCCGAAAGGGGGUCUCCGGCAACGGCCGCUGUCGAGGUGCUGCAUGGUUGUCGUCAGCUCGUGCCGUGAGGUGUCGGCUUAAGUGCCAUAACGAGCGCAACCCCCAUCUCCAGUUGCCACCGGGUCGUGCCGGGCACUCUGGAGGGACUGCCAGCGCAAGCUGCGAGGAAGGCGGGGAUGACGUCAAAUCAGCACGGCCCUUACGUCCGGGGCGACACACGUGUUACAAUGGCGGAGAACAGAGGGGAGCCACGUGGCGACACGGAGCCGAUCCCUAAAAUCCGUCUCAGUUCGGAUUGGAGUCUGCAACCCGACUCCAUGAAGCUGGAUUCGCUAGUAAUCGCGCAUCAGCCAUGGCGCGGUGAAUACGUUCCCGGGCCUUGCACACACCGCCCGU